Osmia lignaria (orchard mason bee) is the source of this 1604-nucleotide non-coding RNA. Lineage: Eukaryota; Metazoa; Arthropoda; Insecta; Hymenoptera; Megachilidae. The record is from RefSeq and is a predicted model, not a curated record.
UGUGCCAUUUCACGCCCUAUUAUCUUUUUUAUUCUGAAAGAAUGAAAACAACCCCUGCGAUUGCGUUAUCUUUCAGUAUAAAUUGGUUGUUUCUGGGAGAUCCCAACAUGACCGACGGGAAAGUUCAUCGUGCCAGUAAAUUAAUUUCGGUGGGUGCAAUUCACCACAGUUUAGAUGUAAUUCUACCGGGGAAACAUAAACAGAGGCACGGAUGGAAAGUAAGUUAAUUCUAGGACGCGCUAUCCCGGAGGACGGGCUUGGAUAUUUGGGCCAUGACCAGGUUGCGAUCAAUAUAGCGUCCCGUCGGUGAAGCAUCGACGAAAGUCUGCCAGCAACGUUGGGACAAUCCUUGCAUACAUUCCUGUGAAAAUGGAUUCGUUCUGUACUCAGUGCAAACGGAAAGUAAAAGAUCACAAGGAAGGUCUUAUUAAAUAAAUAAAACUAUUCAAGGUCCAGCGAAUUAAAAUAUCUAACAAUAAGUAGUUCCUUGGAUCGCAACGAUAGCUGAAGUCGAUGAGUUGGAGGCCGCAAAUGGGCCAAUAAAUAUUCUGACGAUAAUGAUAGUCGACUACAUGCGCCGAGGAUAUGUUUGCGUUAUCAGACACGCACGGUACGUGUUUACGGUCUGAAAGAAGAAAACACGAGGCAAACAGAUGGCAGAGCAUCGAAAUCCCUGCUUGAUUGCAGAGCUCGUUGUUUAACGGAAAAGAAGCAAGAUCACUUUAGGAUUGAAGAAGGAUUACAUUAAAGUGGAAGGAGAACGAUAUCAAAGAACAGUCAGCAGCUCGAUAACAAUCGGGAAAGGAAAAAUGUAACGAUCUGAAGUUUUUCCGUCAUUCCUAAGAAAACUGCUGCGUUACUCAUCGUUCAACGUUUACAAAGGCUACGCUUGAGCGUGCCAAUAGUGUAAAUCGAGCUUUAUAGUCGUUGUUGCGAGAGAGGUGAAAGGAUUGAGCGGGCCAAAAUCAGGCAGAAGGAUAAGGAGGUAGGUGUCUCGAUAGUAGAAAAUGACACGAACAAACAACGAUGGAGACCCAUUUUGCCGUUGAAGCGAGUUCACCGUGUCUGACCUCUUUUGCGACGGGCGCUUUUCCCCGCGAGGAAAAAUACGCCGUUCAUCCGAAGCAGAAUGGGAUUGGGUGAAAGUCGUUCAGGUGAUUCAAGGGAUGCCGUCCAAAGAUAGAUCCGAGACAAUGCACGAAAGCGUUUCGUGUAACUUGCCAAACGUUUGAUCGUUUCUUCGACUUCAUCUGGGUCGAUUGUAAAUCCCAAAGGAACGAGAAGCGGCUGCUUAACCAUUUAGAACUUUAAGACCUAGUUUUAGGGAACACGUGCUUGCCACUACAGGCUGAUCCACGUGACUUUUUCUUUAAUAUACUUAACAAAAAAUUUAGAGGAAUAUAUAUUUUUGCAAAUACAACACGCUUGUAUAAAAUUAAAAUUAAAAAAAAAAAAAUAUGCCCUUGCGGGGAUUCGAUCUGGCGAUCCUUAGUUUUGAAAUUCCCGCCCUUCGCCGCUCAAUUCUUGUAACUAUUAAAAUAUCUCCUAUGUUUUAUAAUGUAGAUAAAUAUUAUAAGAUCUAUUAAAUUAUUUUUAUUAAAAAA